GGCUUAGAAGCAGCCACUCAUUAAAAGAGUGCGUAAUAGCUCACUGGUCGAGUGAUCCCGCGCCGAAAAUUUAACGGGGCUAAACUAUAAACCGAAGCUUGGGAUACCGCAAGGUAUGGUAGGAGAGCGUCAUGUAAGGGGUGAAGUCAUAGCGAAAGCGGUGGUGGACUUUACAUGAGUGAGAAUGCCGGAAUGAGUAGCGAGAAUUAAGUGAGAAUCUUAAUGGCCGAAAGUCUAAGGUUUUUGGAGGAAGGUUCGUCCGCUCCAAGUAAGUCGGGAGCUAAGGCGAGGCCGAAAGGCGUAGUCGAUGCACAUACGGUUGAUAUUCCGUAACCACUGACAACUUAAACAAAAUGACACUUUAGAAGGGCUUGACCCGGGUGCUGGUAAUCCCGGGCGUAAGGGACCGAAAUUUAGUAGGGAAGCAAGCUUGGAUGGAGGCGAGAAAAGUUUUGUGUAUGUAAUGUUGGUGCCCGUACCGCAAACCGACACAGGUGGACAGGAAGAGAAUUCUAAGGCCAGCGGGAGAAGGGUAGUUAAGGAACUCGGCAAAUUGACUCCGUAACUUCGGGAAAAGGAGUGCUCUCGAGAGAGAGCCGCAGUGAAUAGGCCCAGGCGACUGUUUAGCAAAAACACAGGUCUCUGCCAAAUCGAAAGAUGAAGUAUAGGGGCUGACACCUGCCCGGUGCUGGAAGGUUAAGAGGAGGAGUGAGAGCUCCGAAUUGAAGCCCCAGUAAACGGCGGCCGUAACUAUAACGGUCCUAAGGUAGCGAAAUUCCUUGUCGGGUAAGUUCCGACCCGCACGAAUGGUGUAACGAUCUGGGCACUGUCUCAACUACCCGCCCGGCGAAAUUGUAGUACCGGUGAAGAUGCCGGUUACCUGCGACAAGACGGAAAGACCCCAUGGAGCUUUACUGUAGCUUGAUAUUGGGUUUCGGUAAUUUAUGUACAGGAUAUGUGGGAGACUGGGAAGUUAUGGCGCCAGCCAUAAUGGAGUCGAUGUUGGGAUACCACACUUAGAUUGCUGGAAUUCUAACCUGUGGCCAUGAAACUGGUCAGGGGACAUUGUCAGGUGGGCAGUUUGACUGGGGCGGUCGCCUCCGAAAGAGUAACGGAGGCGCUCAAAGGUUGGCUCAGCACGGACGGAAACCGUGCAUUAGAGUGUAAACGCGUAAGCCAGCCUAACUGCGAGGGUGACGGCCCGAGCAGUAACGAAAGUUGGAGUUAGUGAUCCGGCGGUAUGUGAAUGGAAAUGCCGUCGCUCAACGGAUAAAAGCUACCCUGGGGAUAACAGGCUGAUCUCCCCCAAGAGUCCACAUCGACGGGGAGGUU
RNAcentral lists this ribosomal RNA (1332 nucleotides) under metagenome. Its description in RNAcentral is "bacterial LSU rRNA". It matches the Rfam family "Bacterial large subunit ribosomal RNA", at positions 1103 to 2518 of the family's 2925-position model. The record is from RNAcentral.